AACGAACGCUGGCGGCAUGCCUAACACAUGCAAGUCGAACGAGACCUUCGGGUCUAGUGGCGCACGGGUGCGUAACGCGUGGGAACCUGCCCUUAGGUUCGGAAUAACUCCCCGAAAGGGGUGCUAAUACCGGAUAAUGUCUUCGGACCAAAGAUUUAUCGCCUUUGGAUGGGCCCGCGUUGGAUUAGCUAGUUGGUAGGGUAAAAGCCUACCAAGGCGACGAUCCAUAGCUGGUCUGAGAGGAUGAUCAGCCACACUGGGACUGAGACACGGCCCAGACUCCUCCGGGAGGCAGCAGUGGGGAAUAUUGGACAAUGGGCGAAAGCCUGAUCCAGCAAGGCCGCGUGAGUGAUGAAGGCCUUAGGGUUGUAAAGCUCUUUUCCCCGGAUGAUAAUGACAGUACCGGGAGAAUAAGCUCCGGCUAACUCCGUG
This 432-nucleotide ribosomal RNA is filed under the name uncultured bacterium. Its description in RNAcentral is "partial 16S ribosomal RNA". It matches the Rfam family "Bacterial small subunit ribosomal RNA", at positions 29 to 507 of the family's 1533-position model. The record is from RNAcentral.